RNAcentral lists this ribosomal RNA (253 nucleotides) under uncultured bacterium. RNAcentral describes it as "partial 16S ribosomal RNA". It matches the Rfam family "Bacterial small subunit ribosomal RNA", at positions 524 to 776 of the family's 1533-position model. The record is from RNAcentral.
UACGGAGGGUGCAAGCGUUGCUCGGAAUUAUUGGGCGUAAAGGGUAGGUAGGUGGUCUUAUUUGUCUGAGGUGAAAGCCUUGAGCUUAACUCGAGAAGUGCCUCAGAAACGGUGAGACUAGAGUCCUGGAGAGGGUCGUGGAAUUCCCGGUGUAGCGGUGAAAUGCGUAGAGAUCGGGAGGAACACCAGAGGCGAAAGCGGCGACCUGGACAGGUACUGACACUCAACUACGAAAGCGUGGGGAGCAAACAGG